GAACGAACGACAAACUCAAGGUAUGAAUGCAGAUGAACCGCAUGAAUACUCUUUGCUGGGUUUGGCCUCACAUCAAUGUUGACUUUGCUUAACGAUUUUACAUUGUUCAAAGAAUAGGACACAAAAAAAAUUCCCAUGAAGAUCAAGCUCUUCAAAAUUUGGAGCAUUGAUAAAAAUUUUGGAACUACUUCCACGCACGAGGAAAUAAAAGAGGACAUAGUGUAUUACCAACGUUAUUUGUAGUCUCUUGAGUUUGGGUGCGGACACAUUAAAACACAAGACUUCCCCAUGUUCAAUAUCUAUAACCAAAUCUUCGAGAACAGGACAACACGAAAAGAGACUACCCAUUAAGUGAGACUUUGG
This 363-nucleotide long non-coding RNA is filed under the name Fragaria vesca (wild strawberry). RNAcentral's name for it is "long non-coding RNA (FVES_LNC005431)". Lineage: Eukaryota; Viridiplantae; Streptophyta; Magnoliopsida; Rosales; Rosaceae. The record is from RNAcentral.